CAAGAAAUGAGUUAUCUAUCCGUCUCUCUAUUGUGCCAGCCUAAUACCGGUUGCUAAGCGCAACCUUGACUUUUUACCUCGGAUCAGGUGGGGAUACCCGCUGAACUUAAGCAUAUCAAUAAGCGGAGGACAAGAAACCAACAGGGAUUGCCCUAGUAACGGCGAGUGAAGCGGCAAAAGCUCAAAUUUGAAAUCUGGCCUUAUUUUAGGGUCCGAGUUGUAUUUAGAGAGGAUGCUUUGGGGAUAGCAGCGCUGAAGUGCCUUGGAAUAGGACGUCAUAGAGGGUGAGAAUCCUGUAGACAGCGACCUGUGUAUCACCGAAUAAAGCUCCCUCGACGAGUCGAGUUGUUUGGGAAUGCAGCUCUAAAUGGGAGGUAAAUUUCUUCUAAAGCUAAAUAUGGGCCGGAGACCGAUAGCGCACAAGUAGAGUGAUCGAAAGAUGAAAAGCACUUUGGAAAGAGAGUUAAAAAGCACGUGAAAUUGUUGAAAGGGAAACGCUCGCGGUUAGAGGUACUAGAUUGGGCUUGGCUAGGCCUCGGCCUAGCUCACUCCCAGCCUAGUAGGCCAGCAUCGGUUUAGGCGGUAGCUUACCAGCUGCUAGAAGGUAGCUGCUCCCCUUGUGUGCGUAGCACUUAUAGCUAGCGGCGUACUUCUACCAGCCUAGACCGAGGAACCCGCGCUUUAAUGCUUGGAUGCUGGCGUAAUAGCCUUGAGCGACC
Molecule: ribosomal RNA, 719 nt
Filed under: uncultured fungus
Lineage: Eukaryota; Fungi
Description: eukaryotic LSU rRNA
Rfam family: Eukaryotic large subunit ribosomal RNA (bases 74-719)
Source: RNAcentral